CUAGUCCUCUCUGCUCUUAUUGAUUGGUUGGACCAAUCAACUGACCCCAUUCUGGCCAAUGAGAUAAAAGGGCUGCUCUGGAACGGGUUUUCUCUUUUGUCAUCCUGCUGCUGCUGCUGCUGCUGCUGCUGCUGCUAAGUCGCUUCAGUUGUGUCCGUCUCUCACCAGGCUCCCUCGUCCCUGGCAUUCUCCAGGCAAGAACACUGGAGUGGGUUGCCAUUUCCUUCUCCAAUGCGUGAAAGUGAAAAGUGAAAGUGAAGUCGCUCAGUUGUGUCCGACUCUUCGCGACCCCAUGGACGGCAGCCUACCAGGCUUCUCCGUCCAUGGGAUUUUCCAGGCAAGAGUACUGGAGUGGGUCGCCAGUGCCUUCUCCCGCUUUUGUCAUAAAGGAGAGGAAAAGGGGUUGAUGGUUUCGCCUUUUCUUCUCACCUUUAAGUGUGUUUUUUGAGGUGAUAGUGGUUAGAGCUCGAGGGACAAUAUUUCUAAUUCACUGAGGAUGAAAUGGAGUGCACGGACGAAGGACACCUUGGAGCAACAGAACCAAUUGCUCUGCUGACUCUUCUGGGCUCCUCGUUCUGUGAGAACUUAUGCAGCUUCUAACUGGAAGUUUGUAACCUUUGAUCGACAUUUCCCCAUUCUUCCCACCCACUAGUCCCUGGCAAUCAUCAUUCUACACUCUUGUUCCUGU
Long non-coding RNA from Bos taurus (domestic cattle), 688 nucleotides. NCBI's taxonomy places the organism in Eukaryota, Metazoa, Chordata, Mammalia, Artiodactyla, Bovidae. The record is from Ensembl.